CAGUCGCCGCGGUAAUACGUAGGUGGCAAGCGUUGUCCGGAAUUAUUGGGCGUAAAGCGCGCGCAGGCGGUUUCUUAAGUCUGAUGUGAAAGCCCCCGGCUUAACCGGGGAGGGUCAUUGGAAACUGGGAGACUUAGAGUGCAGAAGGGGAGAGUGGAAUUCCAUGUGUAGCGGUGAAAUGCGUAGAUAUAUGGAGGAACACCAGUGGCGAAGGCGACUCUCUGGUCUGUAACUGGCGCUGAGGCGCGAGAGCGUAGGGAGCAAACAGGAUUAGAUACCCCAGUAGUCCCUGUCUCUUAUU
RNAcentral lists this ribosomal RNA (301 nucleotides) under uncultured bacterium. RNAcentral describes it as "partial 16S ribosomal RNA". It matches the Rfam family "Bacterial small subunit ribosomal RNA", at positions 509 to 808 of the family's 1533-position model. The record is from RNAcentral.